Long non-coding RNA from Physeter macrocephalus (sperm whale), 3573 nucleotides. RefSeq lists it as uncharacterized. The transcript is spliced from 3 exons. Lineage: Eukaryota; Metazoa; Chordata; Mammalia; Artiodactyla; Physeteridae. The record is from RefSeq and is a predicted model, not a curated record.
AAUUGAGCCCUAUUUUGAGGGAAAUUAGUUUUGCAGACUUCGUUAAAAAAAAAAAAAAAAGCUGAAACUUUUGUUCACCAGCUGCUCAACUUUUCAGUCUGGGUCUGAGCUGGAACCUGCUGCAAGCGUUUGACGUGCCAUUACCUUACUGGGGGGCCUCACUGUUCUUAGUUGGAUGACACGGGACUCUCCAUUGCAAUCUACUUGCCUAGAGCAUCACCCCAUCUCCAGAAGCAGGAGGGAGAAUGGUUUUGAAUCUUAGCUCUAUCAUUUUCUGACUCUGUACCAAAUUACAUAUAGAUCUGUCAGAAUGAUGUAAGACCUGAAAUCUCUCUGUAAGUUGAUCCUCUUGACCCCAUGAUUAGGAGCUUCAUAAUGUGGUACCACACCUGGAAAUCUCCAGAACAAGACCUCAAGGAAGCACAGGAAAUCCCUAGAGUGGCAAAACAUCCGAUUUGAAGACAUUCAAUUAUUUCUCUGUGCAUCAGGAGCAUCACUGUUAAUUAACUAUUGAUAUGCUUGAAAGAGUUUGUUUAGCAAUAGCCCUUGCAGACAAAAAAAGAGCCGUGUAUCAUUCAUGAUGAACUAGACAAUGCUGCCACAAUGAGUUAACUUCUACAUCUUAUUCCCUUGGCAAAAGUUUAGUUCUUAUUCCUGCAAAUUUUGAUGCAAGAUGGUUGGCUCUCCAGGCAGAUACUGACCUUGUGAAAUAGUCAUCUCAACAUGUUCCUCCAUAACAAGACUCCACAGCAGGGGAAGAUGGAAGUGGAGGGUCACACACCUGGUCUUAUAUACUUUGAUGCAAAGGUGAUGCAUGUCAUUUUUACUUACAGCUUGUAGGCCAGAACAAAGCCUAAUAUACUUGCAAGGGGUCUGGAAAAUAUUCUGAAGCACAUGGCUGUUCAGUGAGCGGUAAAUGCUUCUCCCACACCAGGCUUUGGCAGACUUCAAAUUUGUUCCUAAUAGGCCUAAUUUACACCACUAACUGUAUAUCCCUUGAGUCUUCCUGGAAUAUUUUGUUAAUGUUUUUCUAGCACAGUGUCUGGCACAAAGUAUUCAAUAAACAUACACAGCAGAACACUUAGAUCCGUAAGUUUCACUUUAUCUUUGGACUUCAGAACCCAUGUAGCUGCUACAUCAUAUCAGGAAAGUGUAACUGCAACUCUAACUGCAAUGAAAAUUAACAGAUAAAAUGCUCAGCCCAGCUUCAAUUUUGUUUUGUUUUGUUUUUGAUUUUUGUAGUUUUUGCUUUGUUUCUUUGCUCCAGAGCAGAAGCUCAUACCUGAUUGUCACUGGACUUAGAACAAUAGUUGUGUCCACACACAAUGAGAGUGGUUCAAAUUCUUUGGGGAAUUUGUCUUCAAGUAUCUGAAGCUGGGUUGGGACGCCAGUCUCUAUGUGUAAAUUAGGUUCAUUCCCUUUCAGAUGUUGUAUUUUAUUUUCAAUCAAUACUGUCCACUCUGUAAUGGUUCACUGCAUAGACCUGAAGAUGACAUUUUGGGCUGUGUCUUGUAUUUGUCACUUAUUAGCACUUUGUGGCCAGGUUAAUUAACCUUUUGUGUCUAGGUUUUCUCAUUUGUAAAUAAAAAUGUUUAUUUCUAUAAUUUCAUGUUGACAAACUAGCAAGUCGAUCUAAGUCUAGUAAGUGUGUGUGUAUAUCAGUGAUAGAUAUUGUCAUCAUAAUGAUAAUUUUCAUUAUCAUCUAUCCUAAAGAUCUUAUUCUAUCUAAAAAGAAAUCCCUGUAAACAAUUUUUGAAAGUAUUUACUUACAUAUAUUUGUUCAUUCCACUACUUCCCCAAUUAACACUCUAAUAUCUUAAAGCAUCUUGUCCUGAGACAAGAUUCCAUAAAUGUUUGUUGAAUGAGUAAAUGAUAUACUAACGAUAAAUGUAACUCUAUUCUCAGCAUUUUAUACAUAAUGAUCAUACAUUUAGGUGACACACAUUUCACUUGACUUUUUUACUUGCUUCAAAAUAUGAUUUUAAAAAAACCUCUCGGCAUAUAAAACCUAGAAAUUGGGGUGAGUGACAAAAACUCUUCAGUAUGGCCAAAAGGACUAUUAAGUUCUAAGGAAGAAGCUAUCUAACAUUGCUUAACUAUAGUACUUUGGAAUAAAUUUAUGGUAGCAUUUGGCACAUUUUAUUUUAGGUUUUACUGGAUCUAGGCUUUUGUUUAAAGGUAACAAACAUUUUUUAAUAGCAGAUGUUUAGUGGGAUAACAAAUGGACUAAUCCUACCUUCCAUUCUGUUGAAAUAUGCAACCCCUUGAAUUCCAAACAAGACAUUUUAACGGUGAAACAAAAUACCCCCAAACAAGUAACACUGUAGAACUUAAGAUUUACCAUCUAUGUAUAUAACUUAUGCUUCACUUAUAUAUUGUGUACAUGAAUUACGCUAAAAGUAAGCUAAUUGUUACAUAGGUAAUGUUCAGAACUCGCUAUAUCAUCUAUGCCUGAAUAAUCUGAGAUAGCUAUAUUAGAUAAACAUGAACCUACAUUUUAUUAUGCCAAUUAAAAUUUCUAUUAUUUUAGAAUUGAAACUCUUCCUAGUUCCAGAAAGUUUUUUUUGUUUUUUGUUUUGUUUUGUUUUGCGGGGCCUCUCACUGUUGUGGCCUCUCCCGCUGCGGAGCAGAGGCUCCGGACGCGCAGGCUCAGCGGCCAUGGCUCACGGGCCCAGCCGCUCCGCGGCAUGUGGGAUCUUCCCGGACCGGGGCACGAACCCGCGUUCCCUGCAUCGGCAGGCGGACUCUCAACCACUGCGCCACCAGGGAAGCCCCCAGAAAGCUUUUCUGGUGAUUUACAGUAGAACUUGAUAUAACUAAAUAAUUUAACACAAAGAAAGGAAAACCUCCUAGAGCAGUCAUUUCAGACCCCUAAUUAUCAGAAGGACCCUCUUUUUUCUAUUACAAAAGAAAUUCAUUAUAGAACCAACUAUGUGAAGUUAACAAAGAGAAGCAGAGUAGUUAUGAUGGACUCAGGUAAAGGGAAUCUGGUAGCACAUGCCUAGUGUUUUGCCUUUUCCUCACCUACCACGGGUUUGUGGGUAGUACCUACAAAGAAAUAAAGGAGCUAGGGACACAACCUGAAAACCACUAAUCUCACUAAUAUAUACAAUCCACCUAGUAAAAUGGCCCCUGAAAUGCCAUACCUGUGUUUUCCUGGUCCACUGAUUUAUUUGAUAGGCACACUCCUGUGGUAAAUAUUUGAACCACAUUAUUUUCUUUUUUCUGUCUUCAAGUGUCUAGUCAUCAGUUCCUUCAGAUUUUCUAUUUAAAAAAAUAUAUAUAAAGUUAGAUUGUCAAACUUUAUGACUGUAGAAAUACUUUUAGUGGACAAAAUUUUAAUGUAAUAACCCUAUAUUUAUCAAGAGUCAAAUUUAGAGAAAAAAAAUCUAUAUGAGGAACAUCUCCAUAAGAUCUGAACAGCGCAGUGUUACUUAACAGAAUCCAAAAAGGAUCUAAUCCGUACAGAAUUCAGUGCCAAAAAAAUGGAUUGCCAGACAGAAAAGGGGGCAAAUGACACAAACUUCUAAAUUAUCAAAGAAAAGAUACAUAUGAUCAAGAAAUAUAAAAAUA